Molecule: long non-coding RNA, 231 nt
Filed under: Elaeis guineensis (African oil palm)
Lineage: Eukaryota; Viridiplantae; Streptophyta; Magnoliopsida; Arecales; Arecaceae
Description: long non-coding RNA (EGUI_LNC055188)
Source: RNAcentral
GCUGGAAAGGAUGCGCACACACCCCGAGAAGUACAACCCUAAUAAAUUCUGCCUCUAUCAUCGUGACCAUGGCCAUGACACGGAGGAGUGCAUUCAGCUCCGAGAUGGGAUCGAGGAGCUCAUCAGAUGAGGUCGGCUCGACAGAUUCAUCCGAUAUCGGCCUAAGGGUAGAGAAGAUCGGUCGAGGGCCCUACCACUGCCAGAGUCACCAAGGAGGGAAGAACAGCCUAA